Molecule: ribosomal RNA, 232 nt
Filed under: uncultured bacterium
Lineage: Bacteria
Description: partial 16S ribosomal RNA
Rfam family: Bacterial small subunit ribosomal RNA
Source: RNAcentral
UACGUAGGGGGCAAGCGUUGUCCGGAAUCAUUGGGCGUAAAGAGCGUGUAGGCGGCCCGGUAAGUCGGUUGUGAAAGUCAAGGGCUCAACCCUUGAAUGCCGACCGAUACUGUCGGGCUAGAGUCCGGAAGAGGCGAGUGGAAUUCCUGGUGUAGCGGUGAAAUGCGCAGAUAUCAGGAAGAACACCUAUGGCGAAGGCAGCUCGCUGGGACGGAACUGACGCUGAGGCGCG